AUCUGGCCUCAAAUCAGGUAGGACUACCCGCUGAACUUAAGCAUAUCAAUAAGCGGAGGAAAAGAAACUAACAAGGAUUCCCCUAGUAACGGCGAGUGAAGCGGGAAGAGCUCAAAUUUGAAAUCUGGUAGCCUUCGGUUGCCCGAGUUGUAAUCUAGAGAAGUGUUUUCCGUGCCGGCCCAUGUACAAGUCCCUUGGAACAGGGCGUCAUAGAGGGUGAGAAUCCCGUCCUUGACAUGGACCCCCGGUGCUUUGUGAUACACUUUCAACGAGUCGAGUUGUUUGGGAAUGCAGCUCAAAAUGGGUGGUGAAUUCCAUCUAAAGCUAAAUAUUGGCGAGAGACCGAUAGCGAACAAGUACCGUGAGGGAAAGAUGAAAAGCACUUUGGAAAGAGAGUUAAACAGUACGUGAAAUUGUUGAAAGGGAAACGAUUGAAGUCAGUCAUGCUCUUGGGACUUACCUCCCUUGAGUGGGGUCAACAUCAGUUUUGAUCGAUGGAUAAAGGCACGGGGAAGGUAGCACUCUCGGGUGAACUUAUAGCCUCGCGUCAUAUACAUUGAUUGGGACGGAGGAACGCAGCAUGC
RNAcentral lists this ribosomal RNA (584 nucleotides) under Naganishia albida. RNAcentral describes it as "partial large subunit ribosomal RNA". It matches the Rfam family "Eukaryotic large subunit ribosomal RNA", at positions 1 to 604 of the family's 3401-position model. The record is from RNAcentral. Lineage: Eukaryota; Fungi; Basidiomycota; Tremellomycetes; Filobasidiales; Filobasidiaceae.